UCCUCCAGCGCCGCCGGCGGCUCCGGCGUGGGAGAGAUGGAGGUGAUGCGGAUGCUGGGACACUCGAGAACACGGCCACCCCCAGCACCCCCAGCACCCCCUCCUGGUCCUCCCAGCCUCACCGACCGGGCGGGCUGGCUCUCCCAGGUACCAGCAAGGAGACCUUCUGAGCCACAAGACAAAAGCAGAGUUGGACCUGGGAAGAUGGAGGAGAUUGAAGCAGGCAUGCCAGGACUUUGCCCACUGGCCCCUGGAUCCUGGGACCGAGGGUACCCGAUCUGGUGGGUCUUAAGCUUAAAUUCCAGCUCCUCAUCCUCGCAGCUGGCCGCCCCCAUGGAUCCGGCAGGAGCCCCCAGGUCCCGGCCUGGGUGGGAGGGGGGAGCUCAGGAGGCUGCUGUAUCUUCACCCGGGUGGCUCCCUCCCUCCCUUUCUCUGAGAAGCCCCCUCCUCCGUCGCUGCCGCCUCCCUGCAGAAGCCCCCUCGUUAUUAUAGAAACUUUUCCAAACUUUUUUCCCCCAAACUUCUUCAAAGCGGCCCCCCCCAGCCUGUCCCUGAUUGGCUGCCGGGGAUGCUCCAGCCCCUCCUCCAGGGAUGAGAUGGGAAAACCACGCGCCCCUCGUCCUCCCCCACCCUCCCUCCCUCUGUCUUCUCUUCAGUCCCUCCCCCUCAAAAAAAAAAAAAAAAAAAAAAACUGAAUUGGAAAACGGUCCUUCAAGAGUGAUACUAAUGUUGCCUAUUGGUCCGCCGUUGUGACAAUCAUUUCCCUCAGGGAGCCCAGCCCCCACCUCCCAUAGUCUCAGUUCAAGGUUCUGGGUCCGAGAGCUUUAAAGGGGCCACAUCCUGGGCCCCCAGGGUAGAGAGCCCACGGAAGACCCUUUUUUAAGUUCUGAAGACUGUGUAGAUAGCACCUAGCAAGGCGGAACCACUUAUCCUCCCCUUUCCCUCCAAGCCUGGCGCCAGGAGGGUCCUGGGGCAGAGUGGCACCGAGCUGCUCGGAAGAGGAAAAGGCUAUUCUUCCAGGUCCCUUGCCUGGGGCUACUUUGCCCGGGCCUUCUGGAAGUCUUUUGCCCUGCCGAAUCAGUGCCUCCAUUAGCCAUUCCUCAACGACCCCCAAAGAUGAAGAACCCUUAGCCAGCCUGGAUGCCUCUGGGAGCAGUCCCAGCCAAAGAGUCUUUGAGAACUGUCCCUAGGCCCACAGCCCUUGAUGGGCGUAGAUCCAGGCCAGGCUUUGCCACUGCCCUUGUCCCAGCCACCCAGAGGGGCCAUGAAUUGGCCUCCACGGGAAGUUGGUUCCCUCCUCCCUAGAACUGUAGUUUGGAAUGAAUCUGUGACCCGAUAGCAUCCCACUCCGGCUCUUCUAAAAAUCCUUGCCAGGUUUACUAGGGGCCUGAAACCUCGGGACCCUGUGGGCUCCCCCCUCCCCCGCUGCCCCCGCCCGGGGCUGGACACCUGUCACCUGGGCUGGAGGAGGAAGGAAGACCCGGACUGGAGUUUCCGGGAAAGUCAGGCUUGGAGAGGCCUGGGUUGUGUGAGAGGGAGUUAGGAGAUUCGUGACUCGGUGGGAGAUACUGGCAAGGCUGUUAUCAAACGGUUUGAAGAUCCUUUCCCAUAGUACCACCUGAAAAUAAUGAUGAAAAUGCCCACCUCUUCAGUAGAUAAAGUGACUUUUACAAAUCAGACUAACAACCCCCUAUUCCAGCUUUAGUGCUCUCCCUGUCCAACCUGGGAUCCACGUGAGCCAUUUCAAAAGUGUUUUCACAAGCAAUCAAGAUUUCCUCAGCCCUUAACUUUCCAUCACUUCCCAAACUGAGGUCCAAUGCAAACACAGCCAAGAAGUGCAAGGGAGUUAGUGCCUCCAGAUGAAAUCCUCAACCAAUGAGUGCAGACACUGGCAGAUGAAUGUUCCAGCCUCCCAUCCUUCAUAUGGACAAUUCUGGGAGGCAUUCUUUAAAUUUGGAGUCUCUACUGGAAAGGAGCCUCCAUUGCCUACAAUAACAAUCUCAAUAAAACAUCCUCAUAUUGGC
This is a non-coding RNA of Macaca mulatta (Rhesus monkey), 2024 nucleotides long. NCBI's taxonomy places the organism in Eukaryota, Metazoa, Chordata, Mammalia, Primates, Cercopithecidae. The record is from RefSeq and is a predicted model, not a curated record.